RNAcentral lists this long non-coding RNA (1090 nucleotides) under Sus scrofa (pig). RNAcentral describes it as "lncRNA (ENSSSCG00055001984.1)". Lineage: Eukaryota; Metazoa; Chordata; Mammalia; Artiodactyla; Suidae. The record is from RNAcentral.
AUGCCCUUUCAACCUUCCAUCUCUGCUAAAUGCCUUUUGGAUCCCAGCAGUGGACUCCACUGGAUGGGUGGAUUGACUCAGAGCAGACUGUUACUGAGGCCUAUUAGGGUUGGUGAAAAGCAUUCUAGCCAGAGCCUCCAGAGAGACGGUGCCUGGAGCAUACACACAGAGAGACACUGGGAAAAUACCCUUGUGCUGGAGCGACAGGGUGAAAACAUCUGUGUUCCUGAGCUGCUUAAGAAGAUAAAGUUAAUGGGGAGAAGGCAGGGGGCGGGGGAGGUGGGAGGAGUGGGGAAUGGUGCAGUCUGAGGGCGCGCAUGUUUGGAGCAGAUGGAAAAUGUACCCAGAACUGGAGAUGUGAGCCAAUUGUAACUGAUUUUACAACAGAGGUAUACAGAGGAGUCUCAAAGAUGCAGAAUUCCAGUGAAAAACCUGGAGGGUGGCUAAAGGAGGAGAAACCUCUUAAACCCCCAAAGUAAGAUUAAUUCCUGAGAGCGGGCAGGGAAGAUGAUCCCAAGUGGUCCAUGAUUCUAAGUGAAUUUCAUACCUGCCUGCCAGGGAGUGAGGUUUACAGGGCGACCUGGCUAAUCGUCGUUUUCUCACCCCCAAUUUUGCUUCUAAACUGGACAUGCCCUUCCCCUCUCCGCCGCCUGCCUCAAAACUUGUCAAGCUACUCCUUCUCUUUCGCUAAAAUGCUGCUUCCUAGCAGUCUAAUAUGUGACACAAAUGAACCUCUACAAAAAUGAAACAAACUCAUGGACUUGGAGAACAGACUUGUGGUUGCCAAGAGGGAGGGGGUGGGGGAGGGAGUGGGGUGGACGGGGAGUUUGGGGUGAGUAGAUGCAAACUAUUGCCUUUGGAGUGGAUAAGUAAUGGGAUCCUGCUGUAGAGCACAGGGAGCUGUAUCUAAUCACUUGUGAUGGAACAUGAUGGAGGAUAAUGUGAGAAAAAGAAUGUAUAUAUAUGCAUGCCUGGGUCACUGUGCAAUAUGGCAGAAAUUGACAGAACACUGUCAAUCAACUAAAUAAGAACCAUUUUAAAAGUUAAUUAGAUAAAUAAAUAAGAAAAGGAAAACUUGGUAGUUGCUGAA